AUAGUUCAAUGCAGCGCAGCUCCUGCGUCAUUUCGUAUCGAGAUGCCGUUUUGAUCACUGCGAAGGGUUGUGGAGACAUUGGCGGCUGUGGUGGAGGCGGGUAGCGCGGAGAUAUCUUCUCGCGAUGGCGGAGGUGACAACUGCAACGGGUCUCCAUUACGUGCCCACGUCCGAUGGAUUUGCCAACUUGUAUCCGAGAAUCUUGCUUUAUCCUGAAUGAAAAUAUUCAAUUGUAGUAUUAAAUAUUAACUUUGUUCAUAACUUUUUAUUUGGAAAUGGCUACUUUAUUACUUUAAUAGAAUUAUUUAUAGCGAUGAAAUCGCCUCUGUUGCAUUGUAUUAAUUCUUGGUCUUGGUUUAUUAGCUAUGCAAUGUUAUUGUAUUGUUUUUACUAUAUAAAUAUACUUGUUAUGUUUUCUUAA
Melitaea cinxia (Glanville fritillary) is the source of this 421-nucleotide long non-coding RNA. RefSeq lists it as uncharacterized. The transcript has 2 exons. Lineage: Eukaryota; Metazoa; Arthropoda; Insecta; Lepidoptera; Nymphalidae. The record is from RefSeq and is a predicted model, not a curated record.